RNAcentral lists this ribosomal RNA (198 nucleotides) under uncultured bacterium. RNAcentral describes it as "partial 16S ribosomal RNA". It matches the Rfam family "Bacterial small subunit ribosomal RNA", at positions 328 to 539 of the family's 1533-position model. The record is from RNAcentral.
ACGCUCGACACCUACGGGAGGCUGCAGUGGGGAAUAUUGCACAAUGGGGGAAACCCUGAUGCAGCAACGCCGCGUGAAGGAAGACGGUUUUCGGAUUGUAAACUUCUGUUCUUAGUGAAGAUAGUGACGGUAGCUAAGGAGCAAGCCACGGCUAACUACGUGCUAGCAGCCGCGGUAGUCUGAGCGGGCUGGCAAGGC